GCGGGUGCUAAUAUCAUCUGCGCUUGACGGUACCCUCRAAGGAAGCACCGGCUAACUCCGUGCCAGCAGCCGCGGUAAUACGGAGGGUGCGAGCGUUGUUCGGAAUUAUUGGGCGUAAAGCGCGUGUAGGCGGUUUGAUAAGUCUGAUGUGAAAGCCCCGGGCUCAACCCGGGAAGUGCAUUGGAAACUGUCAGACUUGAAUACGGGAGAGGGCAGUGGAAUUCCUAGUGUAGGAGUGAAAUCCGUAGAUAUUAGGAGGAACACCGGUGGCGAAGGCGGCUGCCUGGACCGAUAUUGACGCUGAGACGCGAAAGCGUGGGGAGCAAACAGGAUUAGAUACCCUGGUAGUCCACGCCGUAAACGAUGAGUACUAGGUGUUGCGGGUAUUGACCCCUGCAGUGCCGCAGCUAACGCAUUAAGUACUCCGCCUGGGAAGUACGGCCGCAAGGCUAAAACUC
Molecule: ribosomal RNA, 458 nt
Filed under: uncultured bacterium
Lineage: Bacteria
Description: bacterial SSU rRNA
Rfam family: Bacterial small subunit ribosomal RNA
Source: RNAcentral